Molecule: ribosomal RNA, 245 nt
Filed under: uncultured Actinomycetales bacterium
Lineage: Bacteria; Bacillati; Actinomycetota; Actinomycetes; Actinomycetales
Description: partial 16S ribosomal RNA
Rfam family: Bacterial small subunit ribosomal RNA
Source: RNAcentral
UGCUCGAGUGGCGAACGGGUGAGUAACACGUGAGUAACCUGCCCUUGACUUUGGGAUAACUCCAGGAAACUGGGGCUAAUACCGGAUAGGAGCUCCUGCUGCAUGGUGGGGGUUGGAAAGUUUCGGCGGUUGGGGAUGGACUCGCGGCUUAUCAGCUUGUUGGUGGGGUAGUGGCUUACCAAGGCUUUGACGGGUAGCCGGCCUGAGAGGGUGACCGGCCACAUUGGGACUGAGAUACGGCCAAG